Molecule: long non-coding RNA, 1486 nt
Organism: Cyprinus carpio (common carp)
Lineage: Eukaryota; Metazoa; Chordata; Actinopteri; Cypriniformes; Cyprinidae
Source: Ensembl
AGAAACAAACUACAUCUUGGGUGGCCUGAGGGGAAUCUCAUCAUUAAGAAGGAGGCUUUACGGAGUCAUUAUGAGUUCACACCUCAGCUAGCGCGUCUUGUCACUCUUACUGGCAGCCAGGGAUCAGAUCAAGUGUAUUGGUCGGAGCUAAAGGUGGCGGUGGGCGUGUGUGGAAGGGUGUUAGAUCUAUCAGUCUGUCUGAGGGGGAAGAAGCCUCUUCACUGGGGGUCCAGAUCCCGAGAUGUUGACACCUCCAUCGCAGGUCAUGGGAGAGUCUCUGAGAGUUUGAUUAAUGAAGGUGCAGGAGAUGUGAACAGAGAAAAUCUGCGAUUAGCCCAGUUUUUAUGUGGUUUCAGCAGAAUAGCUCUAAGUUUGUCUAUCUAUUACUGCUUUUGUCUGUCCACUUUUCGCUUUUGUAUUGCUUACAAAAAUUUUUGGUUUGCAUGUUUAUUCACUAAAAUGCUUUCCUUAUGCCACUGCAUUUAAAUAUGUUACAAUACAACAGCAUACAGCGUGAGUAAAUACAUUAAACAUUUUGGGCAAUUUACAAAAUGAUUUUAAAUUAUUGUUUUAAUGUAAUUUAUUGUUGUUGUAUAUUGUUAAGACUUUUUAUAAUAUAUAUAUAUAUAUAAGGUAAUGCAUAUUAAUACAUUUGAAAUAUAUUUAAGGAAAUAGUUGACCCAAGAAUUCAAAUUUGCUAACAGUUUCCUCACCCUCAGGCCAUCCAUGCAGAUGAGUUUAUUUCCCCAUCAGACCAGAUUUGGAGAAAUGUAACUUUACAUCACUUGCUCACCAGUGGAUCCUCUGCAGUGAAUGGGUGCCGUCAAAAUGAGAGUCCAAACAGCUGAUAAAAACAUCACAAUAAUCUACAAGUAAUCCACACGACCAGUCCAUCAAUUAACAUCUUGUGAAGCAGAAAGCUGUGCGUUUGUAAGAAACAAAUCCAUCAAGACAUUUUAACUUUGCUUCCACCUAAAAUAUAAGUCCUCUAUUAUAAUAUUGCUUUCUCCAGUGUAAAAGACGUCUCGUCUGAAUCAGGAGAGAAAUAUGCAUAGAUCAAGCACUGUUUACGAGAGAAAACAGUUAAAAACAAACAAGUCAGUGGAUUUUGGAAGCAUUAUUACUGAUUUUCUACUCAUAUAUUCACCAGAAGUGACAAUUUAAUGAUAAAAAUGCCUUAAUGAUGUAUUUGUUUCUUACAAACAUGAAGCUUUUUGCUUCACAAGGCAUUAACUGAUGGACUGGAGGUUAUUUUUAUCAGCUGUUUAGACUCUCAUUCUGAUGGCACCCAUUCACUGCAGAGGAUCCAUUGGUGAGCAAGUGAUGAAAUGCUAAAUUUCUCCAAAUCUCUUCCAAUAAUGAAACAAAUUGAUCUACAUCUCGGCCUAUUUUCUGUUGUUGAAAUUGUAGCAAUGCACUGUUCAAACAGAAGUCACUUUAAAACCAAGUGCUUAUGUUAGUUCUAUCGCAAAAACCCAGAUCGUGC